RNAcentral lists this microRNA precursor (115 nucleotides) under Pelodiscus sinensis (Chinese soft-shelled turtle). Its description in RNAcentral is "miRNA (ENSPSIG00000019596.1)". Lineage: Eukaryota; Metazoa; Chordata; Testudines; Trionychidae. The record is from RNAcentral.
UCAUGCACUGCUCAGAUUGUUAUGAGAUAUUGUCUUGAAUUUAUGUGUGUGUGUGAGUGUGUGUGUGUACACACACACACACACACACACACACACACACACACACACACACAUA